GAUGAACGCUGGCGGCGUGCCUAAUACAUGCAAGUCGAGCGAACAGACGAGGAGCUUGCUCCUCUGACGUUAGCGGCGGACGGGUGAGUAACAAGUGGAUAACCUACUUAUAAGACUGGGAUAACUUCGGGAAACCGGAGCUACUACUGGAUAAUAUAUUGAACCGCAUGGUUCAAUAGUGAAAGACGGUUUUGCUGUCACUUAUAGAUGGAUCCGCGCCGCAUUAGCUAGUUGGUAAGGUAACGGCUUACCAAGGCAACGAUGCGUAGCCGACCUGAGAGGGUGAUCGGCCACACUGGAACGAAGACACGGUCCAGACUCCUACGGGAGGCAGCAGUAGGGAAUCUUCCGCCAUGGGCGAAAGCCUGACGGAGCAACGCCGCGUGAGUGAUGAAGGUCUUCGGAUCGUAAAACUCUGUUAUUAGGAAAGAACAAAUGUGUAAGUAACUAUGCACGUCUUGACGGUACCUAAUCAGAAAGCCACGGCUAACUACGUG
Molecule: ribosomal RNA, 497 nt
Filed under: uncultured bacterium
Lineage: Bacteria
Description: partial 16S ribosomal RNA
Rfam family: Bacterial small subunit ribosomal RNA
Source: RNAcentral